This is a non-coding RNA of Parelaphostrongylus tenuis, 74 nucleotides long. Lineage: Eukaryota; Metazoa; Nematoda; Chromadorea; Rhabditida; Metastrongylidae. The record is from the annotation of a GenBank genome assembly.
GUCUUGGUGGUGUAGUGGUCAGAGCACGCGUCUCCGGAUAGGAUGAAACGCGGGCUCGAUUCCGGCCCGAGGCC